RNAcentral lists this ribosomal RNA (406 nucleotides) under uncultured bacterium. RNAcentral describes it as "partial 16S ribosomal RNA". It matches the Rfam family "Bacterial small subunit ribosomal RNA", at positions 29 to 526 of the family's 1533-position model. The record is from RNAcentral.
AUUGAACGCUGGCGGCAGGCCUAACACAUGCAAGUCGAACGAGUGGCGGACGGGUGAGUAAUGUCUGGGAAACUGCCCGAUGGAGGGGGAUAACUACUGGAAACGGUGGCUAAUACCGCAUACCAUCGGAUGUGCCCAGAUUGGAUUAGCUAGUAGGUGGGGUAACGGCUCACCUAGGCGACGAUCCCUAGCUGGUCUGAGAGGAUGACCAGCCACACUGGAACUGAGACACGGUCCAGACUCCUACGGGAGGCAGCAGUGGGGAAUAUUGCAAAAUGGGCGCAAGACUGAUGCAGCCAUGCCGCGGGUAUGAAGAAGGCCUUCGGGUUGUAAAGUACUUUCAGCGAGGAGGCGGGAAACGAAGAAGAAGCAUCGGCUAACUCCGUGCCAGCAGCAGCGGUAAUAG